AUUGAACGCUGGCGGCAGGCCUAACACAUGCAAGUCGAGCGGAUGAAGGGAGCUUGCUCCUGGAUUCAGCGGCGGACGGGUGAGUAAUGCCUAGGAAUCUGCCUGGUAGUGGGGGAUAACGUCCGGAAACGGGCGCUAAUACCGCAUACGUCCUGAGGGAGAAAGUGGGGGAUCUUCGGACCUCACGCUAUCAGAUGAGCCUAGGUCGGAUUAGCUAGUUGGUGGGGUAAAGGCCUACCAAGGCGACGAACCGUAACUGGUCUGAGAGGAUGAUCAGUCACACUGGAACUGAGACACGGUCCAGACUCCUACGGGAGGCAGCAGUGGGGAAUAUUGGACAAUGGGCGAAAGCCUGAUCCAGCCUUGCCGCGUGUGUGAAGAAGGUCUUCGGAUUGUAAAGCACUUUAAGUUGGGAGGAAGGGCAGUAAGUUAAUACCUUGCUGUUUUGACGUUACCAACAGAAUAAGCACCGGCUAACUUCGUG
This 484-nucleotide ribosomal RNA is filed under the name uncultured bacterium. RNAcentral's name for it is "partial 16S ribosomal RNA". It matches the Rfam family "Bacterial small subunit ribosomal RNA", at positions 30 to 507 of the family's 1533-position model. The record is from RNAcentral.